RNAcentral lists this transfer RNA (91 nucleotides) under Seleniivibrio woodruffii. RNAcentral describes it as "tRNA-OTHER". It matches the Rfam family "Selenocysteine transfer RNA". The record is from RNAcentral. Lineage: Bacteria; Pseudomonadati; Deferribacterota; Deferribacteres; Deferribacterales; Geovibrionaceae.
GGGUGUGUGGGGUACUGGUGUCCCCUGCGGUCUUCAAAACCGAUGGUGACGCACCUGUGCGUCAGGCGGGUUCGAUUCCCGUGCACCUCCG